Mycena leptocephala is the source of this 78-nucleotide non-coding RNA. The record is from the annotation of a GenBank genome assembly. Lineage: Eukaryota; Fungi; Basidiomycota; Agaricomycetes; Agaricales; Mycenaceae.
GUCUUCCGUAGUGUAGUGGUUAACACCUUCAUUUUAGUCCAAACCAAGAGGUCGCGCGUUCGAGUCUCGCAGCUAACA